CUUUCGUGUUUCUCUCUGCGAUUUCUAUAGUUCAUCGUAAUGGAAUCAACUACCAUGAAGACUAUUAAGAUGAGAAUGAUCUCAUAAGAUACACAUGUUGGAUAGUAGAAGGACUUGAUAUGCACAUGAGGUAGGGUGUCGUAACGCAAGGGGGUACACCAAAGACGCUUUGUUCUUGGGAUAUGGAUAUGACGAUAUGGUUAUUCAUGGCAAAGGCUGAAGUGAGCAAGAUUGCUAAUAGGGGGACUGGUUUUGCUUGGGAGUGUACCUGCACACUAAUAAGACAAAACAAUAUUUUCCUUGGGGUUGUUACACCGCCAAGCAAGUUGGUACCCCCAUUAGCAGCGUUGGAAGUGAGGAAGUGAUUAUAUCCUAGUGAAUCUCAAAUAGGACGUUAUAAUUGAACUUUUACUGAAAUGAAAUUUGGGAACAAUUCUUAAAACUUGAUGGCAAACAUAUUUCUCA
Papaver somniferum (opium poppy) is the source of this 465-nucleotide long non-coding RNA. RefSeq lists it as uncharacterized. The transcript is spliced from 2 exons. The record is from RefSeq and is a predicted model, not a curated record. Lineage: Eukaryota; Viridiplantae; Streptophyta; Magnoliopsida; Ranunculales; Papaveraceae.